AUACUUACUUGGCAGGGGAGAUACCAUGAUCACGAAGGUGGUUUUCCCAGGGCGAGGCUUAUACAUUGCACUCCGGAUGUGCUGACCAUCCGGGAAACUCGAGUGCAUAAUUUGUGGUAAUGGGGGACUGUGUUGGAGCUCUCCCCUG
Molecule: small nuclear RNA, 148 nt
Filed under: Echinops telfairi (small Madagascar hedgehog)
Lineage: Eukaryota; Metazoa; Chordata; Mammalia; Afrosoricida; Tenrecidae
Description: U1 spliceosomal RNA (ENSETEG00000021949.1)
Rfam family: U1 spliceosomal RNA
About the family: U1 is a small nuclear RNA (snRNA) component of the spliceosome (involved in pre-mRNA splicing). Its 5' end forms complementary base pairs with the 5' splice junction, thus defining the 5' donor site of an intron. There are significant differences in sequence and secondary structure between metazoan and yeast U1 snRNAs, the latter being much longer (568 nucleotides as compared to 164 nucleotides in human).
Source: RNAcentral